CCGCGUUGAGUUGAUGACGGCCUUAGGGUUGUAAAGCUCUUUCGCUAGGGACGAUAAUGACGGUUACCUACGACUAAGAAGCCCCGGCUAACCUUCGUGC
RNAcentral lists this ribosomal RNA (100 nucleotides) under uncultured bacterium. RNAcentral's name for it is "partial 16S ribosomal RNA". The record is from RNAcentral.